CAGGGAUCUCGUGGAUUUUUGAACUUUCGGAGAUUUCUAUUGUUUCUUCGGCCCUUGACACCGUCUCGAGCAUCUGAUUUUGAGAUAUAGGAAAUUUGAGGAUGGAACUGUUUCCUGAUUGCCAGAUCCAGUUUGCUAAGGUCAAACGCCAUGGGAGCUGAUGCUGGUUGAUUGAGCAAAGCUAGAGUGAAAACCCUGCUGAGAGACCAACUUUCAGAGAAAUAAUAGACAUGCUGACUUAUGUUCAAAAGCAGAUUGCUCAUAAGAAGCGAUGGACGGAUGUCACAAUGAAGAUCAUAUCAUUUUCUCAGCAAGGGCCUUGGGCUAUUUCUAUUUUAUCAGCUAAUGGUGUCAUUUCAAAUGUUACACUUCGCCAACCUGAUUCUUCUGGUGGUACAUUG
This is a long non-coding RNA of Dioscorea cayenensis subsp. rotundata (Guinea yam), 401 nucleotides long. RefSeq lists it as uncharacterized. NCBI's taxonomy places the organism in Eukaryota, Viridiplantae, Streptophyta, Magnoliopsida, Dioscoreales, Dioscoreaceae. The transcript is spliced from 4 exons. The record is from RefSeq and is a predicted model, not a curated record.